Molecule: ribosomal RNA, 239 nt
Filed under: uncultured Vibrio sp.
Lineage: Bacteria; Pseudomonadati; Pseudomonadota; Gammaproteobacteria; Vibrionales; Vibrionaceae
Description: partial 16S ribosomal RNA
Rfam family: Bacterial small subunit ribosomal RNA
Source: RNAcentral
CUCGCAAGAGCAAAGCAGGGGACCUUCGGGCCUUGCGCUACCGGAUAUGCCCAGGUGGGAUUAGCUAGUUGGUGAGGUAAGGGCUCGCCAAGGCGACGAUCCCUAGCUGGUCUGAGAGGAUGAUCAGCCACACUGGAACUGAGACACGGUCCAGACUCUACGGGAGCAGCAGUGGGGAAUAUUGCACAAUGGGCGCAAGCCUGAUGCAGCCAUGCCGCGUGUAUGAAGAAGGCCUUCGG